AACGAACGCUGGCGGCGUGCUUAACACAUGCAAGUCGAACGUGAAAGGCUUCGGCCGAGUAAAGUGGCGCACGGGUGAGUAACGCGUGGGAAUCUACCCUAGAGCGGGGGACAACCCGGGGAAACCCGGGCUAAUACCGCAUACGUCCUACGGGAGAAAGAGGGCCUCUGCUUGCACGCUCUCACUCCAGGAUGAGCCCACGUCCGAUUAGCUAGUUGGUAGGGUAAAGGCCUACCAAGGCCACGAUCGGUAGCUGGUCUGAGAGGAUGAUCAGCCACACUGGGACUGAGACACGGCCCAGACUCCUACGGGAGGCAGCAGUGGGGAAUAUUGGACAAUGGGCGCAAGCCUGAUCCAGCAAUGCCGCGUGUGUGAAGAAGGCCUGCGGGUUGUAAAGCACUUUCAGUGGGGAAGAACAGAUUCGGGUCAAUACCCCGGAGCCCUGACGUUACCCACAGAAGAAGCACCGGCUAACUCCGUGCCAGCAGCCGCGGUAAUGUGUG
This 503-nucleotide ribosomal RNA is filed under the name uncultured bacterium. RNAcentral describes it as "bacterial SSU rRNA". It matches the Rfam family "Bacterial small subunit ribosomal RNA", at positions 29 to 529 of the family's 1533-position model. The record is from RNAcentral.